This 497-nucleotide ribosomal RNA is filed under the name uncultured bacterium. Its description in RNAcentral is "partial 16S ribosomal RNA". It matches the Rfam family "Bacterial small subunit ribosomal RNA", at positions 28 to 507 of the family's 1533-position model. The record is from RNAcentral.
GAUGAACGCUGGCGGCGUGCCUAAUACAUGCAAGUCGAGCGGACAGACCCGGCUCUUGCUGCGCUCUCGUUAGCGGCGGACGGGUGAGUCACACGUGUAACCCCUCCUUGUCAUUGUGAUAUCACUUCGGGACUCCGGCUCUUAUCCCGUAGGAUCUCCUGAUCCGCGGUGUUCGAUGGUGAAUUACGGCGGUGCUGGCUCGUAUAGCUGCAUCCGCGCUUCAUUAGCUAGUUGGUACUGUCCAGGCUUACCAAGGCAACGAUGCCUGGCCGACCUGGGAGGGGGAUCGGCCACAGUGGAACUGAGACACGGUCCAGGAUCCUACGGGAGGCAGGAGUAGGGAAUAUUCCGCAAUGGGCGAAAGCCUGACGGAGCAACGCCGCGUGAGUGAUGAAGGUCUUCGGAUCGUAAAACUCUGUUAUUAGGGAAGAACAUAUGUGUAAGUAACUAUGCACGUCUUGACGGUAACUAAUCAGAAAGCCACGGCUAACUACGUG